Molecule: long non-coding RNA, 2319 nt
Filed under: Sus scrofa (pig)
Lineage: Eukaryota; Metazoa; Chordata; Mammalia; Artiodactyla; Suidae
Description: lncRNA (ENSSSCG00055019917.1)
Source: RNAcentral
UUACGGAUGGGAGGCUCCGGGCAAAACCUGGUCCGUGCCACACCUGCAGGCUUUAGGCAAGGAGUGGCUGCCGAUGGGAAGGAAGGUGAGUGCUCUUCGAGGUGUGGGGCCCGAUGAUUUCCCAGAUGGUCGGCAGAGUGAGAGGGACAUUCGGAUCGACGUCUGCUGAGCUGACCUUGCGGGUGAGCGUGGGCCUGGCUGUUUGUUUGGCAGGACCCGGUGAAUGCCUUGGCCAUGUUUUUACUCUGUUCAUUCAUUCUUUCACUCCAAAGACAAUCAAUGGAUGCUCACGCUGUGCCAAGAUGCGGAUCCACUCACUGAGAUUAGCAGUUCAGGAGGACAGUACGUUCGAGAGGACGACGGGCAUUCGGCUCUGAGCAUGUUGAGUCUGAGGCAUCCUCACUCUUCCCCAUUCCCACGGCCAGAUCAGUACAAAAUCCUGUCCCUUCUGCAUCCUGAGUGUGUUGUAAACCCAUCCACCUCUCUUCGCCCCCACUGCUAGUCAAAAGUUCAACCCAGCAGCAUCCUUUAUCUAUGAAUUGGAAAAAAUAGCGUGAAAGACCCAACUCCUCGUGUGAGCCUCAGCCCUCCUGGGAAGACCACCUCCCCUCCCGUGGGCACAGCAGCAGCGACAACAGCGCACGACAGCCCAGGGAGCUCUGUGCGGCCCCUGAUACAUUGUCAAAGACAUGGCCUUGUUUUUCCUCCCAUUCCCGAGGGGUUUUUAAAGGUUGUAUCGAGAUGCAGUUUACAUACCAGGAAACGGACUCGCUCAAGGAUUUUUGGGACGUUUACCGCGUGGUGCCGCCAUCGCCAUGAUCCAGUCUGAGAUCUUUCCAUCCCCCCAUCACAUCUCUCCCCUGCCCGUGGGUACCCAGUCCUCUUUACCACCCGAGCCCCUGGCGGCCAUGGGUGAGCUUCCUGUCUCUGUGGGUUUCCCUGCCAUGGACAGUUCCCGUCUCUGAUUCAUUUUGAGUAAAUCUUUGUGGAUGGUGUGAACUCAGGAUCUAAAUUCAUCUUCUUGUAUGUGGGCUCCAAUUGUCCUCGCACCAUUUGUUGAAAAGACCGUCCUUUCCCUAGUGAAUAUCCUUGACGUCUUUGUCAACAAUAAAUUGACCAGAAAUCUUGUUAAUGCUAGGAACUGGCUGUGCCCACCAGAGGGCCCAAGACCUGGCCCCUCCCACCAGUGAGCCAACGUUAACUCCAGGACCCCCUGCGCCCCAGCCUUGCCCCCCUGGACUGAAGGGUUGACACCAGCUCUGGGACACCUGGGCUCUUCAGCUAGAGACUUCAGGACAUAGCUCUGCCCACCAGUGGGUACAAAAUAGCUCCAGGUCUCCCCUGGGCCCCAGCCCCACCAACCAGCAGGAAGAUGCCAGCCCUGGAACCACCACAGCCCAAUAAUCAGCCAUGUCAGAACCCGACCCUUCCAUGAGCGGGAUGGCCCCAGCCCCAGGAAACCUAGAGCCUGACCUUUCCCACCAAUGAGCCAAAACCAGCACUGGGAUACCUGGGGCCUCUUAUUCAGCUGCCUCAGGAUAUAAGCUCACCCAGCGGCCGGCCAGCGGCAGCUCUAGGACAUCACAGACUCCAUAGCCAGCAAUGUAAGAAACUGGGUUCACCCACCAGCAGGCUGACACCAGCUCCAGGACCCUCACCCCCACAGCCAGGCACCCCAUGACUUGGAUCCACCCUCCAGUGGGAAACACGAGCCCUGGGACACGUGGGGAGCUGACUCAUGACACAGCUCCACCACUAGCAGGCUGGUACCAGGACCAAGACAACACAGGCCCUGCAGCCAGUUGUGCUAGGACCCAGGCCCACUCACCAGCAGCCAUCAGCCUCUGAACCAUGCAGGAACAAGAGAAGAAGGCUUGCUUUCGGUGCCUCUACUCCAGACUGUAGUGGAAGUCCUAGCCAGAGCAAUGAGGCAAAAAAAGAAAUGAAAGACAUUCUUAUUGGAAAGGAAGAAGUAAAACUAUCUCUAUUCUCAGACGACAGGAUCUUCUGUAUAGAACACCCUGAAGAAUCCACAAAACACCCUUAGCCUUGAUGAACAAAUUCAAUCGAGGCGCAGCCUACACGAUCGACACACAAAAAUCAGUUGAAUUUCCAUGGACCAGCGGGGAAGAAAAAUCCAUAAUGACAGUGACGACAGUUCCAUUUCAGAUAGGAUCAAAAGGAAGAAAAUACACAGGAAUACGUUUCGCCAAGGAGGGGAAGAAUUUUGCACUGAAAACGACGAAUCAUUGUGGAAAGAAAUGAAAGAUGACCUAAAAAAGCUGGACGGUGGGAAGACAGCAGGAGUCAUGGACUGGA